Molecule: long non-coding RNA, 660 nt
Organism: Solanum stenotomum
Lineage: Eukaryota; Viridiplantae; Streptophyta; Magnoliopsida; Solanales; Solanaceae
Exons: 3
Source: RefSeq, a predicted model, not a curated record
GUGUCUCCAAUUAGAAAAUGUGACGUUUAUAAAAAGGGACCUGGAUUUUACCCUUUUAGAAGAGUGAUACCUUCAAGAUAUCACGUUCAAUAAGCUUAAGUUCUUGAAACUGGUGUGGUUAGAUAUCUCAAGGUGGGAUGCCUCGGAGGAAUCCUUUCCCCUGCUUGAAAAACUUGUCAUAAAAAGGUGUGACAAUCUUGAGGAGAUCCCCCUUUGCCUUGCAGAUAUUCCAACAUUGAAUCAGAUUAGGUUGAUUAGGUGCAACAACAAAUCUCAGGAGGCUUCAGCUGUGAGAAUUAAGCAAGAAGUCGAAGAGAAUGAAGGAAACGACCGUAUUGUCAUCAUUGCCCAAGAUGAUUGUGGAAACAUAAGGAAGCUAUGAGUCAACGCAAAUUAAAAGCACAGACAGUCUUUUGUGUGGCUAGGCGAAAAUGCAUCAGAUGGUUGGAUCACUAUCAAAUCAUUGUUUCAUAAUUUGGUGAUUGUUUUCCCUGUUAAUUUUUAUAAUCCUUUUCAUCUUACACCUUCAAAUUUGCUUAUAACUGGGUAUGGUUAAAUUGGAUGAGUUCUUUUAAUCCUUGUCCUUCGUCCCUCUAUUAGUUAUAAGGGUAAAUAUGUGCCAAAAGUAUAACCGGUGGGGUAUAUUUAAACUAUUUUCAA